AGCAGUCGCCGCGGGAAUACGAAGGGUGCAAGCGUUAAUCGGAAUUACUGGGCGUAAAGCGUGCGUAGGCGGUGGGUUAAGUCUGCUGUGAAAUCCCCGGGCUCAACCUGGGAAUGGCAGUGGAUACUGGCUCGCUAGAGUGUGUCAGAGGAUGGUGGAAUUCCCGGUGUAGCGGUGAAAUGCGUAGAGAUCGGGAGGAACACCGAUGGCGAAGGCAGCCCCCUGGGCCAAUACUGACGCUCAUGCACGAAAGCGUGGGGAGCAAACAGGAUUAGAUACCCCCGUAGUCCCUGUCUCUUAUAC
This 303-nucleotide ribosomal RNA is filed under the name uncultured bacterium. RNAcentral's name for it is "partial 16S ribosomal RNA". It matches the Rfam family "Bacterial small subunit ribosomal RNA", at positions 507 to 807 of the family's 1533-position model. The record is from RNAcentral.